Molecule: long non-coding RNA, 560 nt
Organism: Mustela erminea (ermine)
Lineage: Eukaryota; Metazoa; Chordata; Mammalia; Carnivora; Mustelidae
Exons: 3
Source: RefSeq, a predicted model, not a curated record
CAGGGGGCGCUGCACCCGCGCCCGCCACCCAGCCCGCUGCACCUGGCUGUCGCCUGGAUGCAAAUUACAGACCCAGCUCGCCCCCGCGCACGCGCGCGUCUCGGGGCCUGCACCUGCCCGCUCCAUCCCGCAGGCCUAACGGGACCGCGCCUCAGGCCUCCGCUCGCGACACCCAGAGACCAUGGGCACCUGCGGAGGCGCCUCCGUCGCCUCUGAAUCCAGAGCGCUUCUUCCUACCUUCCUGGUCUGCGGAGUCCAGGGUCAGCCCUGAUUUCACAGCCGCAACCCGAGCGGCCAAGCUGGGUUAACUUCGUCUCCAAGAUGAGGGCAGUACCUACCUUAUGGGAGCCGUCGUGCCCCUGAAGAGUUCUAAGAUCAUAAAACCGUGGCUUGAGGAUUUCGAUGUCCAACAGAUUCUUUAACAUGUGAUAAAUGAAUGAACCUCACCAAGUUCCAUUGCUAUGGGAACGCAGCACCGAAGUCUCGAGACAAAAAUCACAAGAACCGCUGAUGGACCCCAGCUUUUAUUUAUUUGUUUGAGAGAAAGAGCACAGAGGGAC